This 1148-nucleotide ribosomal RNA is filed under the name cf. Glipostena sp. NLG-2012. Its description in RNAcentral is "partial 16S ribosomal RNA". Lineage: Eukaryota; Metazoa; Arthropoda; Insecta; Coleoptera; Mordellidae. The record is from RNAcentral.
UUCUCGAAAAUUGAAAGAUUUGGCGGUAUUUUAGUCUGUUCAGAGGAAUUGUUCCAUAAAUGAUGGUCCACGAUAGUUGUUACUUCAGCUUUAAAUUUGUAUAUCGUCGUAUGAAGAAUAUUUUUUUGAUUAAUGUUUUCAGAUCAAGGUGUAGUUGAUGUUGAAGAAGGGGUGGGUUACGCUUUAAUGAUGGUAUGAAUUGGAUUUGAAGGUAAGCUCUAUAAUAUGCACAUAUUGCCCGUCGCUUCCAUUUUAGGUGGAAUAAGUCGUAACAAAGUAGGCUUACCGGAAGGUGAGUCUGGAAAGCAAAUUAGAGCUUGAAAAGCGUUUUAUUUACACUAAAAAGUUAAUUGUUAAAAUCAAUUUAAUUUGAUGAGAAAGUGUUUAUUUUUAUUUUUAUUUUGUUUUAAUUUGAAUAUGAGGGUGUUUUGUCUUUAAUGAUGCAAUAUAAUUAUAGUUUAGUGUACUGUGGAGGAUUAUUUUUAUUUUUUUAUAAGAAGGUUUUGUUGGCUGUACCUUGUGUAUCAGGGUUGAUUAAUAAAUGUUUCCCGAAUUGAGGAGAGCUAGUUUUAUUGUUUUAUAAAUAUUUAUAAUUUGGUGCUUGAAAUGAAACGUUAUUCGUUCCUUAAUAUAUCUGGUUUCUUGCGAAUUGAAUUUAAUUGUAGUUUAGUUAAUAUAAUUAAUUAGGGAUAAGCUUAUAUUUGGAUAAUUAAAAAUUUAGGUUUUAUUUAGAUAAAUAGGAUUAGAAAUGUUCAUUUUUUAUAGUUUUUAAUAAUAAAUUUUUUUAAAUUAUUUAGUGAGUAUUUUAGAUUUAUUGUGAUCCUGAGGAUAUAAUGAUUGAAUUAUUAAGGCGAGAUUAAGGAAUUCGGCAAUACUAUUUUCCACCUGUUUAAUAAAAACAUGUCCUUUUGUUAAUGAUUUAAGGUCUAACCUGCCCAAUGAUUUAAUGGCCGCAGUAUACUGACUGUGCGAAGGUAGCAUAAUCAUUAGUUUAUUAAUUGUAAACUGGUAUGAAUGGUUGGAUGAGAAAAUAACUGUCUCUAGAAUUUUACUUUUAGGUGAAAAGGCUUAGAUUUUUUAAAAAGACGAGAAGACCCUAUAGAGUUUUUUUCUUGGGGUGACUUGAAAAUUUAAUCUACUUUUUAUUU